Molecule: ribosomal RNA, 460 nt
Filed under: uncultured bacterium
Lineage: Bacteria
Description: partial 16S ribosomal RNA
Rfam family: Bacterial small subunit ribosomal RNA
Source: RNAcentral
ACGGAAGGCAGCAGUGGGGAAUCUUCCGCAAUGGGCGACAGCAUGACGGAGCAAUGCCGCGUGAGCGAAGAAGGCCUUCGGGUUGUAAAGCUCUGUCCUUAUUGAAGAGAGGUAUUAGUGUGAAUAAUGCUGAUAUAGGACGGUAAAUAAGGAGGAAGCCCCGGCUAACUACGUGCCAGCAGCCGCGGUAAUACGUAGGGGGCAAGCGUUGUCCGGAAUCACUGGGCGUAAAGGGCGCGCAGGCGGUUCAGUAAGUCGGCGGUGACAACUGAGAGCUCAACUCUCAGCCUGCCAUCUAUACUGCUGAACUUUAGUAUGGAAUAGGAGAAUUGAAUUCCUAGUGUAGCGGUGAAAUGCGUAUAUAUUAGGAGGAACACCAGUGGCGAAGGCGAUUCUCUGGGCCGUAACUGUCGCUGAGGCGCGAAAGCGUGGUGAGCAAACAGGAUUAUAUACCCUGGUA